AAAUUGAAGAGUUUGAUCAUGGCUCAGAUUGAACGCUGGCGGCAGGCCUAACACAUGCAAGUCGAACGGUAACAGGAAGCAGCUUGCUGCUUUGCUGACGAGUGGCGGACGGGUGAGUAAUGUCUGGGAAACUGCCUGAUGGAGGGGGAUAACUACUGGAAACGGUGGCUAAUACCGCAUAACGUCGCAAGACCAAAGAGGGGGACCUUCGGGCCUCUUGCCAUCAGAUGUGCCCAGAUGGGAUUAGCUAGUUGGUGAGGUAACGGCUCACCAAGGCGACGAUCCCUAGCUGGUCUGAGAGGAUGACCAGCCACACUGGAACUGAGACACGGUCCAGACUCCUACGGGAGGCAGCAGUGGGGAAUAUUGCACAAUGGGCGCAAGCCUGAUGCAGCCAUGCCGCGUGUAUGAAGAAGGCCUUCGGGUUGUAAAGUACUUUCAGCGGGGAGGAAGGUGUUGUGGUUAAUAACCUCAGCAAUUGACGUUACCCGCAGAAGAAGCACCGGCUAACUCCGUGCCAGCAGCCGCGGUAAUACGGAGGGUGCAAGCGUUAAUCGGAAUUACUGGGCGUAAAGCGCACGCAGGCGGUCUGUCAAGUCGGAUGUGAAAUCCCCGGGCUCAACCUGGGAACUGCAUUCGAAACUGGCAGGCUUGAGUCUUGUAGAGGGGGGUAGAAUUCCAGGUGUAGCGGUGAAAUGCGUAGAGAUCUGGAGGAAUACCGGUGGCGAAGGCGGCCCCCUGGACAAAGACUGACGCUCAGGUGCGAAAGCGUGGGGAGCAAACAGGAUUAGAUACCCUGGUAGUCCACGCCGUAAACGAUGUCUACUUGGAGGUUGUGCCCUUGAGGCGUGGCUUCCGGAGCUAACGCGUUAAGUAGACCGCCUGGGGAGUACGGCCGCAAGGUUAAAACUCAAAUGAAUUGACGGGGGCCCGCACAAGCGGUGGAGCAUGUGGUUUAAUUCGAUGCAACGCGAAGAACCUUACCUGGUCUUGACAUCCACAGAAGAAUCCAGAGAUGGAUUUGUGCCUUCGGGAACUGUGAGACAGGUGCUGCAUGGCUGUCGUCAGCUCGUGUUGUGAAAUGUUGGGUUAAGUCCCGCAACGAGCGCAACCCUUAUCCUUUGUUGCCAGCGAUUAGGUCGGGAACUCAAAGGAGACUGCCAGUGAUAAACUGGAGGAAGGUGGGGAUGACGUCAAGUCAUCAUGGCCCUUACGACCAGGGCUACACACGUGCUACAAUGGCGCAUACAAAGAGAAGCGACCUCGCGAGAGCAAGCGGACCUCAUAAAGUGCGUCGUAGUCCGGAUUGGAGUCUGCAACUCGACUCCAUGAAGUCGGAAUCGCUAGUAAUCGUGGAUCAGAAUGCCACGGUGAAUACGUUCCCGGGCCUUGUACACACCGCCCGUCACACCAUGGGAGUGGGUUGCAAAAGAAGUAGGUAGCUUAACCUUCGGGAGGGCGCUUACCACUUUGUGAUUCAUGACUGGGGUGAAGUCGUAACAAGGUAACCGUAGGGGAACCUGCGGUUGGAUCACCUCCUUACCUUAAAGAAGC
This 1554-nucleotide ribosomal RNA is filed under the name Salmonella enterica. RNAcentral's name for it is "bacterial SSU rRNA". It matches the Rfam family "Bacterial small subunit ribosomal RNA". RNAcentral also lists the same sequence under 1 other name. Lineage: Bacteria; Pseudomonadati; Pseudomonadota; Gammaproteobacteria; Enterobacterales; Enterobacteriaceae. The record is from RNAcentral.